This 497-nucleotide ribosomal RNA is filed under the name uncultured bacterium. RNAcentral describes it as "partial 16S ribosomal RNA". It matches the Rfam family "Bacterial small subunit ribosomal RNA", at positions 28 to 507 of the family's 1533-position model. The record is from RNAcentral.
GAUGAACGCUGGCGGCGUGCCUAAUACAUGCAAGUCGAGCGAACGGACGAGAAGCUUGCUUCUCUGAUGUUAGCGGCGGACGGGUGAGUAACACGUGGAUAACCUACCUAUAAGACUGGGAUAACUUCGGGAAACCGUAGCUAAUACCGGAUAAUAUUUUGAACCGCAUGGUUCAAAAGUGAAAGACGGUCUUGCUGUCACUUAUAGAUGGAUCCGCGCUGCAUUAGCUAGUUGGUAAGGUAACGGCUUACCAAGGCAACGAUGCAUAGCCGACCUGAGAGGGUGAUCGGCCACACUGGAACUGAGACACGGUCCAGACUCCUACGGGAGGCGGCAGUAGGGAAUCUUCCGCAAUGGGCGAAAGCCUGACGGAGCAACGCCGCGUGAGUGAUGAAGGUCUUCGGAUCGUAGAACUCUGUUAUUAGGGAAGAACAUAUGUGUAAGUAACUGUGCACAUCUUGACGGUACCUAAUCAGAAAGCCACGGCUAACUACGUG